CCUACGGGAGGCAGCAGUGAGGAAUAUUGGUCAAUGGCCGGAAGGCUGAACCAGCCAAGCCGCGUGAAGGACGAUGGUGUCAAGCAUUGUAAACUUCUUUUGUCAAGGGACAAAAUCAGCCCCGAUAGCCUGACCGAGGGUACUUGAAGAAAAACCAUCGGCUAACUCCGUGCCACCAGCCGCGGUAAUACGGAGGAUGCGAGCGUUAUCCGGUUUUAUUGGGUUUAAAGGGUGCGUAGGCGGGCUGUUAAGUCAGCGGUAAAAGCCCGGGGCUCACGCCCGGCGAGCCGUUGAAACUGGCUGUCUUGAGAUGGCGUGAGGUAUGCGGAAUGCGCAGUGUAGCGGUGAAAUGCUUAGAUAUUGCGCAGAACUCCGAUUGCGAAGGCAGCAUAC
RNAcentral lists this ribosomal RNA (393 nucleotides) under uncultured bacterium. RNAcentral describes it as "partial 16S ribosomal RNA". It matches the Rfam family "Bacterial small subunit ribosomal RNA", at positions 338 to 729 of the family's 1533-position model. The record is from RNAcentral.